GGCUCCCGGGGCUCCUGCAGGCGGCUGUGCUGCCGUGCUGCGCUGCGGCCGGGCUCCGGCCUGCCCCUAAGUGGGGCGCAGGCCGGAGCCUGUGCUCCGCGGCGCUUGUUGGGGGGUGCCGGGCUGCGGGGGGCGGCCCCGUAAGCGGGGUUGUGUGCGUCCCCUGGCCUCGGCGGGCGGUUGGAGGGACCCCCUGUAAUCAGGCGGGUACCCCUGGCCCCGGUCUUUCAGAGGCGUGGGGCCAGGAGUCAUGGGGCCAGGCACGUGCCCUCCCUGUCCUCGGGGCUGGGCUCGCGGCCCCUCGGGCGCCUCGGCUUUAGGCCGUGAGCUCGACUGCCUGACUGUAGAGUCUGGUUCCUGUUGCCUUGGGGGAAGGCCGAGCUCGGUGGCUCCCUGCGUGUGCACCGGCCUGUAAGCAGGCUGCGGGUCUGGGGGCCUUUGUGCUCCCUUCAGCUGGCAGCCUGCGUGGGGCGCCCGCCCCGUUAGUGGGGAUGGCCCCGGACUUGGAGAGAAGGAGCCUGCUUAGGCCUUGGGGACCAGAGCCGCCCCGUAAGUCGGGGCCGGUGCUCUGGGGUCCCGGGCACUUUGCAGUCCAGGCAGCGGCUUGAGCUCCCUGUAAGCAGGGGUGCAGCCUCUUGGCCGCUGCUCUGCGUGCCCAGCUUGGUUUGCCCAGAGGGCCCGGCUCCCAGCACGGCGUGGGACUGUGCCGGACGUCGCGAUGGAUCAUUCCGGCCUUUCCAGUCACAGUUUUGAGUUUUCGAAGGAUACCUUUAUGGGCACAAAUACUCUGAUAAUAUUUCAAACCUGGAACAUUUAAGUGAGAAACAAGGUAAGCCCCGUUCCUUCCAACAAUGCAUUUCUUUGUGCCUAAAUUAAA
Vidua macroura (Pin-tailed whydah) is the source of this 877-nucleotide long non-coding RNA. RefSeq lists it as uncharacterized. Lineage: Eukaryota; Metazoa; Chordata; Aves; Passeriformes; Viduidae. The transcript is spliced from 3 exons. The record is from RefSeq and is a predicted model, not a curated record.